CACAAGCGGUGGAGCAUGUGGUUUAAUUCGAUGCAACGCGCAGAACCUUACCAGCUCUUGACAUGGGAAGUAUGGGGCCGUGAAAGCGGUUCCUUCAGUUCGGCUGGCUUCCACACAGGUGCUGCAUGGCUGUCGUCAGCUCGUGUCGUGAGAUGUUGGGUUAAGUCCCGCAACGAGCGCAACCCUCAUCCUCAGUUGCCAUCAGGUUAAGCUGGGCACUCUGAGGAAACUGCCGGUGACAAGCCGGAGGAGGGCGGGGAUGACGUCAAGUCCUCAUGGCCUUUAUGGGCUGGGCUACACACGUGCUACAAUGGCGGAUACAGUGGGACGCGAAGGGGCAACCCUGGGCCAAUCUCAAAAAUCCGUCUCAGUUCAGAUUGCACUCUGCAACUCGAGUGCAUGAAGGUGGAAUCGCUAGUAAUCGCGGAUCAGCACGCCGCGGUGAAUACGUUCCCGGGCCUU
Molecule: ribosomal RNA, 462 nt
Filed under: uncultured Rhodospirillales bacterium
Lineage: Bacteria; Pseudomonadati; Pseudomonadota; Alphaproteobacteria; Rhodospirillales
Description: bacterial SSU rRNA
Rfam family: Bacterial small subunit ribosomal RNA
Source: RNAcentral